RNAcentral lists this ribosomal RNA (1245 nucleotides) under Triticum aestivum (bread wheat). RNAcentral describes it as "partial small subunit ribosomal RNA". Lineage: Eukaryota; Viridiplantae; Streptophyta; Magnoliopsida; Poales; Poaceae. The record is from RNAcentral.
AUGAUGACAAAGAGAAGAAGUGAGAGCACAGAUGAUUCGCCAAUGGUGUGCAAGAGUUUGUUUCUCCCGUUGCAACGCACGGGCAUUUGUACUAGUUUGAUUAAUGCAAAUUUUGUGGAACCGGAUGUGAGUGUAAUAUGCAGGAUUCCUAUUAGUAAUUCAGCUGAGGAUAUUUGGGCUUGGCAACCAGAAAAACAUGGUCAUUUAACUGUGAAAUCGGCAUAUAGAGUUCUUGUCUCUAAAAGUCGUCAAUCUGACCAGCCCGGGUCUAGCAUCAAUCAGGAAAAGGUAUGGAAGAAAAUGUGGAAACUUGAGGUCCCUCCCAAGGUGAAGAAUUUCUGGUGGCGUAUUAUCCAUGACUUUAUACCCUGCCGUGCCGUUUUGAAGCGACGACACAUGGAGCGUAUUGAUUUCUGUGACACUUGUGGUCAACAGGAAACUACAAUGCACGCUAUCUUUGAUUGCACUUGGGCAAGGAUCUUCUGGGAGCAGGUGAAGUCCCUAACUGGCAUAAAAAUUCCUGACCUACACCCACACUCCUGGAUGUUCGAUGUGGUGGAUGGUACAAAGAUACCCCAGUCUGAAGCUUGUAUAAUUUUAAGUGGAGCGUGGGCGAUCUGGACUGAACGAAAUGCAAGAAAGCAUGGAGAGUCUGGGCGCUCUAUCAUGCAAUCAGUAAGAUGGGUGAUAGACUCGGUAAUGAACUUAACAAGUGCUGGAAUAGUAAGCAAGCCGAAGCAAUCAAAACAAAUAGAAUGGAAUCCACCUGAUGAAGGCGUGAUGAAGAUUAAUGUAGAUGCAUCCUUUGAUGAUAUUUCCUGUCAAGGUUCGACUGGGCUGGUUAUUCGGGAUAGGGAGGGUGCAUUACUUCGUGCACAAGCCCUUUGGUAUAAUUUUGCAGCUAGCUCACAGUCCAUGGAAGCAGAAGCAAUUCGAGAUGGGGUUCGAAUGGCUACUGAGAGAGGUUUCAGCAAAGUUGAGGUGGAAACUGAUGCUCAAGCUAUUGUUAAGUUGUGGGAGACAGAUACCUUCGAUCGUUCGGAGAUAGCUGGCAUUCUUCAAGAGACCAGGGAGCUUUCUGAUCAAUUUGAGAGUUUUAGGCUGAAAUUCGUACGUAGAGAAGCUAAUGAAGCGGCUCACUUAUGUGCGAAGCAGGCGACAAGUGUUAGGAGGAGACGUUUAUGGCUUAAUUACACUCCUGUUUUCCUAAUGAACACGUUGUAUCGUGACUGUAUGCCUGCUUAA